UUUUUAGACCUCCCUGGAGGAGCUUGCCAUCUAACCGAUAACCCACGAAAAACCUCACCAGCUUUUGAAAACCCAACAUGUAUACCAUCGUCGUCAGUCUACAUCUUAAGAGAAGUACACUCAAUGAGAACCCUCACUACGUCAGAUCGAGGUGCAGUUUAUAAGCUGGGGAUAAGUGAGCUACAAUACUUCCACAACCCCUUAAAAUCCAACUAUGAACAAUCUAAUGAAAACUUAAAUUUGAAAAAGGAUUCAGCAGUAAUAUCCAAAAGAAAAUGGAUAUGAAAAUAUCUAGCUCUAAAAUGCGC
This 308-nucleotide ribosomal RNA is filed under the name Mediaster sladeni. RNAcentral describes it as "partial 12S ribosomal RNA". Lineage: Eukaryota; Metazoa; Echinodermata; Asteroidea; Valvatida; Goniasteridae. The record is from RNAcentral.